GCACCGAAGGCGGAAGGGGACGACGCACACACCCGAUAAGUGUGUUAUUAGCAGGUUCGAGUCCUGCUCGGUGUACCA
Molecule: transfer RNA, 78 nt
Filed under: Phormidium tanganyikae FI6-MK23
Lineage: Bacteria; Bacillati; Cyanobacteriota; Cyanophyceae; Oscillatoriales; Oscillatoriaceae
Description: tRNA-Ile
Source: RNAcentral